CGGGAUACCCGAGGGAAACUUCGGUUAAUACGGUAUAAGACCACACUACCGCAUGGUAGAGGGGUAAAAGGGGCAACCUGGUAUGAGAUGGACUCGCGUCGCAUUAGCUAGUUGGUGAGGUAACGGCCCACCAAGGUGACGAUGCGUAGCCGACCUGAGAGGGUGAUCGGCCACAUUGGGACUGAGAUACGGCCCAGACUCCUACGGGAGGCAGCAGUGGGGAAUAUUGGGCAAUGGAGGAAACUCUGACCCAGCAAUGCCGCGUGAAUGAAGAAGGUCUUCGGAUUGUAAAGUUCUUUAGUCAGGGAAGAAGUCAAUGACGGUACCUGAAGAAUAAGCUCCGGCUAACUACGUGCCAGCGGCCGCGGUAAUACGUAGGGAGCAAGCGUUGUUCGGAAUGACUGGGCGUAAAGGGUGCGUAGGCGGUUGUACAAGUUAGAAGUGAAAUACCCAGGGCUUAACUCGGGUGCUGCUUCUAAAACUGUAUGACUUGAGUGCAGUAGAGGUUGGUGGAAUUCCUAGUGUAGCGGUGGAAUGCGUAGAUAUUAGGAGGAACACCAGAGGCGAAGGCGGCUAACUGGACUGCAACUGACGCUGAGGCACGAAAGUGUGGGGAGCAAACAGGAUUAGAUACCCUGGUAGUCCACACUGUAAACGAUGGAUACUAGAUGUAGGAGGUAUCGACUCCUUCUGCGUCGCAG
This 701-nucleotide ribosomal RNA is filed under the name uncultured bacterium. RNAcentral describes it as "bacterial SSU rRNA". It matches the Rfam family "Bacterial small subunit ribosomal RNA", at positions 139 to 851 of the family's 1533-position model. The record is from RNAcentral.